UUGCAUCUUUCUAAUGUUAGAUAAUAUAGUUUUUCUACCUGGUUAUAAUAAGCUGAUCUUUACCCUGCCACUCUCCCCUCCUAUGUUAUUUAUCAUCUCGUUUAAUUUUUCUUUUAUAGGUGACAAUUCAUCUAUGUUCUCUGUCAACUCAUCUGAUUUCUCUGCAAGCUCGUCCGAAUCCCCCGAGCCCUGCGUGAGCUCCUCUGAGUCUUCUGUGAGCUCAGUAACCUAUCAGAGCUCAGUGAAAUCUGAGAGAAAGGGGAGAAGAAGGGGUGAGGCUGAAAGACUGAGGGAAUAUACAGCAGAGAUAGGAAUAAAAAUAUCGGUGGCUAGAAUGCUGGAAUUGAAACCCAGACUGAGGAAGCCGAAAGUUGUUUCCUAUAAGGGCAUGUGCUGAUCAUCCUGGUGCAUGUCUCAUCCCGGUGAUUAUCUUCUCUGCGAUCUUGAAGAUAAUGGUGAUCAGAGGAAAAUUUUGAAGGCUUAUGAAACAUCUAUAUAGUCUGUUGUUAUGCAAUACACCGGAUGAUUGGACUAAUUUUGUAGACAAGUUUAAGGAUAGUAAUACAAAGUGCGAGACAUCUUUGUUUGAAGUUAUACAAACUAAUUUCUUACCUGCUCUGAAAGAAAUAUACAAAGAAAAGGGUACAAGAGCUAUUGUGUGGGGUAUGCAGACUCGAGCCUUCAAGGAAUGCUUGACUUUGAUUAUGUGUGUUCCAGAAAGGAAUGUUCAGUGGCAGCCAUGGUUUAUCGUUUACCGGAGAUCACAAGCAAAAGUUUUAUUGGGGGCAUAAAGAAGUACUCAUACCUGACUAUAAGUCAUGACAAGAAAUUUGAUUGAUAGACUAAUGUUAAAGAGAACUUAAAAAAAGAGCACAUCGGUGUGAAUAAAGGAAUCGUAAGUAUAUUUUUAUUUUUUAACUUUUUGUUUGAUU
Non-coding RNA from Parasteatoda tepidariorum (common house spider), 932 nucleotides. NCBI's taxonomy places the organism in Eukaryota, Metazoa, Arthropoda, Arachnida, Araneae, Theridiidae. The record is from RefSeq and is a predicted model, not a curated record.